ACGAACGCUGGCGGCGUACCUAAUACAUGCAAGUUGAGCGCUGAAGGUUGGUACUUGUACCAACUGGAUGAGCAGCGAACGGGUGAGUAACGCGUGGGGAAUCUGCCUUUGAGCGGGGGACAACAUUUGGAAACGAAUGCUAAUACCGCAUAAAAACUUUAAACACAAGUUUUAAGUUUGAAAGAUGCAAUUGCAUCACUCAAAGAUGAUCCCGCGUUGUAUUAGCUAGUUGGUGAGGUAAAGGCUCACCAAGGCGAUGAUACAUAGCCGACCUGAGAGGGUGAUCGGCCACAUUGGGACUGAGACACGGCCCAAACUCCUACGGGAGGCAGCAGUAGGGAAUCUUCGGCAAUGGACGAAAGUCUGACCGAGCAACGCCGCGUGAGUGAAGAAGGUUUUCGGAUCGUAAAACUCUGUUGGUAGAGAAGAACGUUGGUGAGAGUGGAAAGCUCAUCAAGUGACGGUAACUACCCAGAAAGGGACGGCUAACUACGUG
RNAcentral lists this ribosomal RNA (496 nucleotides) under uncultured bacterium. RNAcentral's name for it is "partial 16S ribosomal RNA". It matches the Rfam family "Bacterial small subunit ribosomal RNA", at positions 29 to 507 of the family's 1533-position model. The record is from RNAcentral.